RNAcentral lists this ribosomal RNA (465 nucleotides) under uncultured bacterium. Its description in RNAcentral is "partial 16S ribosomal RNA". It matches the Rfam family "Bacterial small subunit ribosomal RNA", at positions 28 to 507 of the family's 1533-position model. The record is from RNAcentral.
GACGAACGCUGGCGGCGUGCUUAACACAUGCAAGUCGAACGGAAAGGCCCUGCUUGCAGGGUACUCGAGUGGCGAACGGGUGAGUAACACGUGGGUGAUCUGCCCUGCACUUCGGGAUAAGCCUGGGAAACUGGGUCUAAUACCGGAUAGGAGCCAUUUUUAGUGUGAUGGUUGGAAAGUUUUUUCGGUGUAGGAUGAGCUCGCGGCCUAUCAGCUUGUUGGUGGGGUAAUGGCCUACCAAGGCGGCGACGGGUAGCCGGCCUGAGAGGGUGGACGGCCACAUUGGGGCUGAGAUACGGCCCAGACUCCUACGGGAGGCAGCAGUGGGGAAUAUUGCACAAUGGGCGCAAGCCUGAUGCAGCGACGCCGCGUGGGGGAUGACGGCCUUCGGGUUGUAAACCCCUUUCGCUAGGGACGAAGCUUUUUGUGACGGUACCUAGAUAAGAAGCACCGGCUAACUACGUG